AAAAGAGAAAGAGACAAAGAGAGAGAGCUUUGUAAAUGUUAGGGAAGCAAGGAAGGGAUUUUUAUCCUGCCUUAGUUGUCCCAUGACUGUAAAAGAGAUAAAAAUUUUAUUCAUCUUUGUUGUCUUAUAUUUUCAAAAGAGAUAAAGAGAAAAAAUGUGUUCUCUUAAUUCUCCUACAAUGAGGAGACAAAAGAAAAUUAGUCGGAUUACCGAUUAAUAUUCUUUUGAUCGUCCUUUUAUUGGAAGAACAAUGUAAUGUUCGAAAAUAAUCGAACUCUUUGAUUCUAUCCAAAGUUGAAUUCUUCGAUUUGGUCAAAUUAGACCAAUCGCAUUGGACAUUUUAUUCAAUGAAUUUGAUUCUGAACUAUAUAUUUCGACUUUAUU
Molecule: long non-coding RNA, 384 nt
Filed under: Ananas comosus (pineapple)
Lineage: Eukaryota; Viridiplantae; Streptophyta; Magnoliopsida; Poales; Bromeliaceae
Description: long non-coding RNA (ACOM_LNC031377)
Source: RNAcentral